CUUUGUUAUAACAUGUCAACCUCUAUAAACUGUAUUAAAAGUACGACUCAGUUAUUUUCUACUGUACAUUUAAUGGUUUGUAAUAUACCCAUUCUGUUUUUAAUUUUUAUUUAAGCUAUAAUAUAUAUAUUGACAAUGUUUUGUAUUCAAAAUAAAACAAAAACGUUGGCUUCCUCCGCCUAAUAUUUAGACUUAUACCUCAAAUUUGACAUACACAGUCAUCUCAGUACCAGAAGCUAUGACAAACGAGACGAUUUUAAUUUUGAAAUUAUCAAUUUCCCCCACCUUAGUAGCAAUAUACCAACUUCACCUGCAUAUGGAAUAUACAUUUCCCAACUUAUUCGGUAUUUAAGAGCUUGCAGCUCCUACUCAGACUUUGUAAAACGUCACCAGUGUCUGAGCAGAAAGUUGAUGAACCAGGGAUAUGUCAAAGAACGUCUCGUCCUUUUUCUAAAAAAAAUCAUCGGAAGGUACCAAGAACUUGUUGAUAAAUAUUCCGUAUCAACUUAACAAGUCUUGAAGUAUAAAUUUUGCGUAGUGACGUUAGUUAUCAU
RNAcentral lists this long non-coding RNA (554 nucleotides) under Mytilus galloprovincialis (Mediterranean mussel). Lineage: Eukaryota; Metazoa; Mollusca; Bivalvia; Mytilida; Mytilidae. The record is from RNAcentral.